UAGCAUAUCAAUAAGCGGAGGAAAAGAAACCAACAGGGAUUGCCCUAGUAACGGCGAGUGAAGCGGCAACAGCUCAAAUUUGAAAUCUGGCUCUUUCAGAGCCCGAGUUGUAAUUUGCAGAGGGCGCUUUGGCGUUGGCAGCGGUCCAAGUUCUUUGGAACAGGACGUCACAGAGGGUGAGAAUCCCGUACGUGGUCGCUAUCCUUCGCCGUGUAAAGCCCCUUCGACGAGUCGAGUUGUUUGGGAAUGCAGCUCUAAAUGGGAGGUAAAUUUCUUCUAAAGCUAAAUACUGGCCAGAGACCGAUAGCGCACAAGUAGAGUGAUCGAAAGAUGAAAAGCACUUUGGAAAGAGAGUCAAAUAGCACGUGAAAUUGUUGAAAGGGAAGCGCUUGCAGCCAGACUUGCCUGUAGUUGCUUAUCCGGACUUUUGUCCGGUGCACUCUUCUGCGGGCAGGCCAGCAUCAGUUUGGGCGGUUAGAUAAAGGUCUCUGUCACGUACCUCUCUUCGGGGAGGCCUUAUAGGGGAGACGACAUGUAACCAGCCUGGACUGAGGUCCGCGCAUCUGCUAGGAUGCUGGCGUAAUGGCUGUAAGCGGCCCGUCUUGAAACACGGACCAAGGAGUCUAACAUCUAUGCGAGUGUUUGGGUGUCAAGCCCAGACGCGUAAUGAAAGUGAACGGAGGUAGGAACCCUUUUGGGUGCACUAUCGACCGAUCCUGAUGUCUUCGGAAGGAUUUGAGUAAGAGCAUGGCUGUUGGGACCCGAAAGAUGGUGAACUAUGCUUGAAUAGGGUGAAGCCAGAGGAAACUCUGGUGGAGGCUCGCAGCGGUUCUGACGUGCAAAUCGAUCGUCAAAUUUGGGCAUAGGGGCGAAAGACUAAUCGAACUAUCUAGUAGCUGGUUCCUGCCGA
RNAcentral lists this ribosomal RNA (910 nucleotides) under Dlhawksworthia alliariae. Its description in RNAcentral is "eukaryotic LSU rRNA". It matches the Rfam family "Eukaryotic large subunit ribosomal RNA", at positions 36 to 964 of the family's 3401-position model. The record is from RNAcentral. Lineage: Eukaryota; Fungi; Ascomycota; Dothideomycetes; Pleosporales; Phaeosphaeriaceae.